AACGAACGCUGGCGGCAUGCCUAACACAUGCAAGUCGAACGAGACCUUCGGGUCUAGUGGCGCACGGGUGCGUAACGCGUGGGAACCUGCCCUUAGGUUCGGAAUAACUCCCCGAAAGGGGUGCUAAUACCGGAUAAUGUCCUCGGACCAAAGAUUUAUCGCCUUUGGAUGGGCCCGCGUUGGAUUAGCUAGUUGGUAGGGUAAAAGCCUACCAAGGCGACGAUCCAUAGCUGGUCUGAGAGGAUGAUCAGCCACACUGGGACUGAGACACGGCACAGACUCCUACGGGAGGCAGCAGUGGGGAAUAUUGGACAAUGGGCGAAAGCCUGAGCCAGAAAUGCCGCGUGAGUGAUGAAGGCCUUAGGGUUGUAAAGCUCUUUUACCCGGGAUGAUAAUGACAGUACCGGGAGAAUAAGCUCCGGCUAACUCCGUG
RNAcentral lists this ribosomal RNA (433 nucleotides) under uncultured bacterium. RNAcentral's name for it is "partial 16S ribosomal RNA". It matches the Rfam family "Bacterial small subunit ribosomal RNA", at positions 29 to 507 of the family's 1533-position model. The record is from RNAcentral.